AGAUUGAACGCUGGCGGCAGGCCUAACACAUGCAAGUCGAGCGGCAGCACGGGUACUUGUACCUGGUGGCGAGCGGCGGACGGGUGAGUAAUGCCUAGGAAUCUGCCUGGUAGUGGGGGAUAACGCUCGGAAACGGACGCUAAUACCGCAUACGUCCUACGGGAGAAAGCAGGGGACCUUAGGGCCUUGCGCUAUCAGAUGAGCCUAGGUCGGAUUAGCUAGGUU
This 225-nucleotide ribosomal RNA is filed under the name uncultured soil bacterium. Its description in RNAcentral is "partial 16S ribosomal RNA". It matches the Rfam family "Bacterial small subunit ribosomal RNA", at positions 26 to 251 of the family's 1533-position model. The record is from RNAcentral.